This 495-nucleotide long non-coding RNA is filed under the name Fukomys damarensis (Damara mole-rat). RNAcentral describes it as "lncRNA (ENSFDAG00000032630.1)". The record is from RNAcentral. Lineage: Eukaryota; Metazoa; Chordata; Mammalia; Rodentia; Bathyergidae.
CCCGGUGUUUACGCAGCGUCCCAGCGGUCCACAGCGCCUGGGAGGUUUGCGGGCGCCAUCGUGUGGUCGACAUGAAUACUGCUGCCCGAAGUUUUCGGGAGGCUGCAAGCAGGGACCUUGCACCGAGCUCCCCGAAAAGCUGCGCCAGGCUAGGGGUCCCAGCAGCGCAAGCGAGCUCUCUCGUUAGAAGAGAUUGAGGAUGAGCUGGGUUUGGGGCAGUGGCCACGAUCUCAUCAUGACAGCCGCAGUAACUCAGCGACGCGGCAGCCGAACCCGCUCCAGCGUCUCACUCGGCCGCAUUUCCUUCCUGCGGGAGGCUGAGGCAGGAGCCUUCCCUGGUGUGCAGAGAUGGCUUUCCCAGAGAAGCAUGUGCCUGUGCCACGGGGAACCCAGUGGAGAGCACCGGGCCAAGGGAUGCUUUCAAAAUGCUAUUCUCUACCGACGUCGUUCUGAGGUGCAUAUCUUAGACCAAAAUAGAAGGAAUCAUUAACAAUA